Molecule: ribosomal RNA, 541 nt
Filed under: uncultured prokaryote
Description: bacterial SSU rRNA
Rfam family: Bacterial small subunit ribosomal RNA
Source: RNAcentral
UAAGGAAUAUUGGUCAAUGGACGCAAGUCUGAACCAGCUAUGCCGCGUGAAGGAUUAAGGUCCUCUGGAUUGUAAACUUCUUUUAUCUGGGACGAAAAAAGGUUUUUCUAAGCCUCUUGACGGUACCAGAUGAAUAAGCACCGGCUAACUCCGUGCCAGCAGCCGCGGUAAUACGGAGGGUGCAAGCGUUAUCCGGAUUCACUGGGUUUAAAGGGUGCGUAGGCGGGCAGGUAAGUCAGUGGUGAAAUCCUGGAGCUCAACUCCAGAACUGCCAUUGAUACUAUCUGUCUUGAAUAUUGUGGAGGUAAGCGGAAUAUGUCAUGUAGCGGUGAAGUGCUUAGAUAUGACAUAGAACACCCAUUGCGAAGGCAGCUUACUACGCAUAUAUUGACGCUGAGGCACGAAAGCGUGGGGAUCAAACAGGAUUAGAUACCCUGGUAGUCCACGCCCUAAACGAUGGAUACUCGACAUACGCGAUACACUGUGUGUGUCUGAGCGAAAGCAUUAAGUAUCCCACCUGGGAAGUACGUUCGCAAGAAUG